UUCCAGACUCCUACGGGAGGCAGCAGUGGGGGAUAUUGCACAAUGGGGGGAACCCUGAUGCAGCGACGCCGCGUGGGGGAAGGAGCGUUUCGGCGCGUAAAGCCCGAUCGGCAGGGAAGAAGGAGGACGGUACCUGACUAAGAAGCCCCGGCUAACUACGUUCCAGCAGCCGCGGGAAUACGUAGGGGGCAAGCGUUAUCCGGAUUUACUGGGUGGAAAGGGGGCGCAGAAGGCAGCGCAAGCCAGGAGUGAAAGCCCGGGGCCCAACCCCGGGACUGCUCUUGGAACUGCGCGGCUGGAGUGGAGGAGGGGCAGGCGGAAUUCCUGGUGUAGCGGUGAAAUGCGUAGAUAUCAGGAGGAACACCGGGGGCGAAGGCGGCCUGCUGGACCGUGACUGACGUUGAGGCUCGAGAGCGUGGGGAGCAAACAGGAUUAGAUACCCGAGUAUA
RNAcentral lists this ribosomal RNA (449 nucleotides) under uncultured bacterium. RNAcentral's name for it is "bacterial SSU rRNA". It matches the Rfam family "Bacterial small subunit ribosomal RNA", at positions 329 to 794 of the family's 1533-position model. The record is from RNAcentral.